This 63-nucleotide transfer RNA is filed under the name Chyliza chikuni. Its description in RNAcentral is "tRNA-Ala". Lineage: Eukaryota; Metazoa; Arthropoda; Insecta; Diptera; Psilidae. The record is from RNAcentral.
AGGGUUGUAGUUAAAUUAACAUUUGAUUUGCAUUCAAAAAAUACUAAACUAUUAGUCUACCUU